CAGUGCUUACAGCUCUUUUUUGAAUCUGUCCAACAGGUCUUCUGGCUUUUACUGGAAGGCCCUA
This is a small nuclear RNA of Pipistrellus kuhlii (Kuhl's pipistrelle), 64 nucleotides long. RefSeq annotates it as U7 small nuclear RNA. Lineage: Eukaryota; Metazoa; Chordata; Mammalia; Chiroptera; Vespertilionidae. The record is from RefSeq and is a predicted model, not a curated record. The transcript has a single exon.